RNAcentral lists this long non-coding RNA (818 nucleotides) under Androctonus crassicauda. Lineage: Eukaryota; Metazoa; Arthropoda; Arachnida; Scorpiones; Buthidae. The record is from RNAcentral.
AAGGCUUCAAGGAUAUUUUGACUGCUGACAAUGACUUUUUGAAAUGUGUAAUUACUGCAGAUGAAAAGGUUAUGGGUUUAACCCAGAACAUUUCUGAAAAUGGAAAAGCCUAUGAACCAAGUAAGUCUUCACAAUGGAAAAGCCCAUCAUGUCCAUGUCCCAAGAAACUUGACAGGUCAGAAGCAAUGUGAAGUCAAUAUUGAUUUUCAUUGUUGACCACAAAGGACUUCUGCAGAAAUUUGUUCCACAAGAUAAUGCAUACUACUACAUUGAAGUAAUGAAGCAUCUAAUGGAUUUUGAGACUCAAAUGCUCAGAGUUGUGAACUACUGGGAACUGAAUGAUCCACCAUGACAAUGCCACAGUCCACAUGUCCAUUGAAAUGCACAGUUUUUAGUCUGAAAUAUCUUAUUCUCUUGAUUUGGCCAUUUAUGAUUUUUUCAUCUUCCUGCAAUGAAGACAAAGCUCAAAGAAUGGAGAUUUUUACAGUUGAGGAGAUCAGGAAAAGAUUAGGAUUGUGCUGUAUAGCAUAAGAAAGGGGACUUUCAGAAAGCAUUCCAAAAAUGGCAGAAUCACUGGGACUAUUGUAUAAACUCCAAGGGAACUGUUUUGAGGAGAUGUUGGCCACUAAAAUUUCAUGUUUAUCAUUUUUUAUAGAGCAAGUUUGGAAAUGUUUUGAUACUAUCUCACAUCUGUCAUGUUGUUAUUUAUCUGUUUGUUUGAUUCAAAUGAUUCAAGUACAGAAUGGACACAACCAAGAAGUAUUUUCUUAUGAUAAAAAUGGCAGAAGUGAAACUUUAAAUAAUACUUAAAGCAUGCU